GCCGCGUUCGUCUAGAGGCCUAGGACGCUGCCCUCUCACGGCGGUAACACGGGUUCGAAUCCCGUACGCGGUA
RNAcentral lists this transfer RNA (73 nucleotides) under Rubrivirga sp. RNAcentral's name for it is "tRNA-Glu". It matches the Rfam family "tRNA". From Rfam's summary of the family: Transfer RNA (tRNA) molecules are approximately 80 nucleotides in length. Their secondary structure includes four short double-helical elements and three loops (D, anti-codon, and T loops). Further hydrogen bonds mediate the characteristic L-shaped molecular structure. tRNAs have two regions of fundamental functional importance: the anti-codon, which is responsible for specific mRNA codon recognition, and the 3' end, to which the tRNAs corresponding amino acid is attached (by aminoacyl-tRNA synthetases). tRNAs cope with the degeneracy of the genetic code in two manners: having more than one tRNA (with a specific anti-codon) for a particular amino acid; and 'wobble' base-pairing, i.e. permitting non-standard base-pairing at the 3rd anti-codon position. The record is from RNAcentral. Lineage: Bacteria; Pseudomonadati; Rhodothermota; Rhodothermia; Rhodothermales; Rubricoccaceae. RNAcentral also lists the same sequence under 2 other names.